This 148-nucleotide non-coding RNA is filed under the name Couchioplanes caeruleus subsp. caeruleus. Lineage: Bacteria; Bacillati; Actinomycetota; Actinomycetes; Micromonosporales; Micromonosporaceae. RNAcentral also lists the same sequence under 1 other name. The record is from RNAcentral.
UUGACCGCCUCACCGGCGCGCCGCUAGGUUGUGGGAACCAUCUGCGGCGUCGCGAGGGAAACCGGUGCAACUCCGGUGCGGUCGCGCCACUGUGAACGGAUCCGUCGGAUCCGUGAGUCAGGACGCUCACGCGCCGCAGGCCUGUCGA